AGGUUCUCCCAGGGAAAAGCCCCUCUGUGUGUGUGUGUGUGUGCGCGCUCUCCUCCUGGAUGACUUCCGUGCAAAACCAGCACACCAGCGCCGGCGUCUCCAGACCAAGUAACCAAGCCAACCACAAUUGGUAGCAAAAACUUUUCACCAGGUGCAAUAAAGCUGCCUCUUGAAGGCACUGCUGAGAAAAGACGUUUUGGAGUUUAGCAAAAGUGGUUACACUCUUGAAAAAGUUGAAUCUGCAUGCGGUUGACAG
Molecule: long non-coding RNA, 256 nt
Organism: Ficedula albicollis (Collared flycatcher)
Lineage: Eukaryota; Metazoa; Chordata; Aves; Passeriformes; Muscicapidae
Exons: 3
Source: RefSeq, a predicted model, not a curated record